CGGAUCCUAGAUUCCAGCAGCAUAGAUCUGACCGAUUGGAUAGUGGCCCCUUUCGCCGUUUAGCAGUUCAAGCUAUGGUGGGCCGAAUGGAAACAGUACCUGUGCUGUGCUUCUGCGGCAAUAUAUUGCAAUCUUCUGGAUCCCAACAACAUCGACCCGAAUGCCGAGGUAUCGCUCUCCUUUCAGCCGAUUUUCAACUCCCCCUUUUUUUUACACCGACUCUUAUUGUUUUUUCAGUUUGAGAGCCUUGCUCCCCCAAAACGCAGUCGGAGUGGCCGGCUGAUAGAGGAUCGUUAUCCAUACACAGAAUUCCCC
This 315-nucleotide long non-coding RNA is filed under the name Setaria viridis. Its description in RNAcentral is "long non-coding RNA (SVIR_LNC005969)". Lineage: Eukaryota; Viridiplantae; Streptophyta; Magnoliopsida; Poales; Poaceae. The record is from RNAcentral.